RNAcentral lists this ribosomal RNA (845 nucleotides) under uncultured bacterium. RNAcentral's name for it is "bacterial SSU rRNA". It matches the Rfam family "Bacterial small subunit ribosomal RNA", at positions 8 to 796 of the family's 1533-position model. The record is from RNAcentral.
AGAGUUUGAUCCUGGCUCAGGAUGAACGCUGGCGGCGUGCCUAAUACAUGCAAGUCGAGCGGUAAGGCUCUGCACUUAGUAUUUGAUCGUAAAAGUUUACUUUUAAAGCAGACCAAUUAGACCCUAGGCUAGGGAAAGAGAAGUAAGUGGAGAUCGAAUAAUGAGUGUAGAGUACACGAGCGGCGGACGGCUGAGUAACACGUAGGAACGUACCCCAAAGUGAGGGAUAAGCACCAGAAAUGGUGUCUAAUACCACAUGUGAUCUUCGGAUUAAAGCUCCGGCGCUUUGGGAGCGGCCUGCGCAUGAUUAGCUUGUUGGUGAGGUAAUAGCUCACCAAGGCGACGAUCAUUAGCUGGUCUGAGAGGAUGAUCAGCCAGACUGGAACUGAGAACGGUCCAGACUCCUACGGGAGGCAGCAGUAGGGAAUUUUCCACAAUGGGCGAAAGCCUGAUGGAGCAACGCCGCGUGCAGGAUGAAGGCCUUAGGGUUGUAAACUGCUUUUAUAUGUGACGAAUAUGACGGUAGCAUAUGAAUAAGGAUCGGCUAACUCCGUGCCAGCAGCCGCGGUCAUACGGAGGAUCCAAGCGUUAUCCGGAAUUACUGGGCGUAAAGAGUUGCGUAGGUGGCAUGGUAAGUAGGUAGUGAAAGCGUGUGGCUCAACCAUACUCACAUUAUCUAAACUGCUAAGCUAGAGGAUGAGAGAGGUUAUUGGAAUUCCCAGUGUAGGAGUGAAAUCCGUAGAUAUUGGGAGGAACACCGAUGGCGUAGGCAGAUAACUGGCUCAUUCCCGACACUAAGGCACGAAAGCGUGGGGAGCAAACGGGAUUAGAUACCCUGGUAGUCG